AUUGAACGCUGGCGGCAGGCCUAACACAUGCAAGUCGAGCGGAUGAAGGGAGCUUGCUCCUGGAUUCAGCGGCGGACGGGUGAGUAAUGCCUAGGAAUCUGCCUGGUAGUGGGGGAUAACGUCCGGAAACGGGCGCUAAUACCGCAUACGUCCUGAGGGAGAAAGUGGGGGAUCUUCGGACCUCACGCUAUCAGAUGAGCCUAGGUCGGAUUAGCUAGUUGGUGGGGUAAAGGCCUACCAAGGCGACGAUCCGUAACUGGUCUGAGAGGAUGAUCAGUCACACUGGAACUGGGACAGGGUCAAGACUCCUACGGGAGGCAGCAGUGGGGAAUAUUGGACAAUGGGCGAAAGCCUGAUACAGCCAUGCCGCGUGUGUGAAGAAGGUCUUCGGAUUGUAAAGCACUUUAAGUUGGGAGGAAGGGCAGUAAGUUAAUACCUUGCUGUUUUGACGUUACCAACAGAAUAAGCACCGGCUAACUUCGUG
This 484-nucleotide ribosomal RNA is filed under the name uncultured bacterium. Its description in RNAcentral is "partial 16S ribosomal RNA". It matches the Rfam family "Bacterial small subunit ribosomal RNA", at positions 30 to 507 of the family's 1533-position model. The record is from RNAcentral.